Molecule: unclassified non-coding RNA, 381 nt
Filed under: Hevea brasiliensis (rubber tree)
Lineage: Eukaryota; Viridiplantae; Streptophyta; Magnoliopsida; Malpighiales; Euphorbiaceae
Source: RNAcentral
AUUUACUUUGACAUCCAGAACUCCAGAGACUGGACUAGACAAGCCAUGGAUUUGAUCAACAACUUGAAUAUUGUGUUUGCCCCUCUAGCUAUACUAGCACUCCUUUUUCCUGCCACCUUAUCUCUUUUUCAAGUAUCUUCUCUCAACUUUCAGCAGCGUAUUCAAAGAAGACGUAGCAGGAAAAGUAGUCCUUAUCACUGGAGCAUCCUCCGGCAUCGGCGAGGUGGCAGCCUAUGUUACUUAUCCCUAAAGCAUUUGUUUUAUUUCUUUACAAGAUAUAAGAUAUCCCUCUUUUAUUUUACGAUGCCUGUGCUUUUUAUUUUGUGGGUUUGAAGCAUUUGGCAUAUGAGUAUGCUACGAGAGGGGCUCGUUUAGCCCUUG